UAGCUAGUUGGUAGGGUAAAGGCCUACCAAGGCGACGAUCGGUAGCUGGUCUGAGAGGAUGGCCAGCCACACUGGAACUGAGACACGGUCCAGACUCCUACGGGAGGCAGCAGUGGGGAAUAUUGGACAAUGGGGGAAACCCUGAUCCAGCAAUGCCGCGUGUGUGAAGAAGGCCUGAGGGUUGUAAAGCACUUUCAGUGGGGAGGAGGAUUGGUAGUUUAAGAGACGAUCAAUUGGACGUUACCCACAGAAGAAGCACCGGCUAACUCCGUGCCAGCAGCCGCGGUAAUACGGAGGGUGCGAGCGUUAAUCGGAAUAACUGGGCGUAAAGGGUGCGUAGGUGGUUGUAUAAGUUAUCUGUGAAAUUCCUGGGCUUAACCUGGGCAGGUCAGAUAAGACUGUAUGACUCGAGUAUAGGAGAGGGUAGUGGAAUUUCCGGUGUAGCGGUGAAAUGCGUAGAGAUCGGAAGGAACACCAGUGGCGAAGGCGGCUACCUGGCCUAAUACUGACACUGAGGCACGAAAGCGUGGGGAGCAAACAGGAUUAGAUACCCUGGUAGUCCACGCUGUAAACGAUGUCAACUAGCUGUUGGUUAUUUAAAUAUAAUGAGUGGCGC
RNAcentral lists this ribosomal RNA (616 nucleotides) under uncultured Legionella sp. RNAcentral describes it as "bacterial SSU rRNA". It matches the Rfam family "Bacterial small subunit ribosomal RNA", at positions 242 to 849 of the family's 1533-position model. Lineage: Bacteria; Pseudomonadati; Pseudomonadota; Gammaproteobacteria; Legionellales; Legionellaceae. The record is from RNAcentral.